This 94-nucleotide small RNA is filed under the name Flavobacterium noncentrifugens. Its description in RNAcentral is "Flavo-1 RNA". It matches the Rfam family "Flavo-1 RNA". Lineage: Bacteria; Pseudomonadati; Bacteroidota; Flavobacteriia; Flavobacteriales; Flavobacteriaceae. The record is from Rfam by way of RNAcentral.
CCCUAGCCCCGAUUGCAGCGGAAAUCCUUUUUGAGUUUGCUGCAGCGCAGCGGAAGCGAACUUGAAAAGAUUGCAGCGAAAAGCGGGAAAAAGC